CAGUGCCAAAAAUGACGUUUUUGUUUGAAGAAACGUCACUUUUGACAUUGACAUAUCUAAUCCAUAUCGUUUCUAGAUCUAAUAUUUGACGUAUCUUAAAGUUCGAAUCGGGCCGAAUUCAAUUCAAAUAAUCACUCGGCACUAUUUUUCGUAUACUUACUAAACCCAAAGUGCCUGCCAAAGAAUCUUAAAAUCAGCUAAGUAGAUGGAACAUAAAAUCAUUAGGUAAAAUCAAAGAUGGAAUAUCGGAUGGCGUAGCGCUUGAGCCAGAGAAUUGGUGUAGAAUAAAGUAAGGAAAUGCAAAACGGUGAUAUAUUUUUAAUUAAGUCAUAAGAACCCAUUAUGAGUACGAGUAUACCCAAAAUACUUAAUUAUCUUUCUUGAAAUGAAGCUAGUUAGACCGUAGGUAUCAUAGUAAGUGACAUUACAGCAGGAUAUAUAACCAAAGCAAUUAAAUGCCCCCAAAGACGGUUACCAAAGAUUAGGUAUAAUUUUAAGAUAAAUAAAGUUAAAUUAUCUAAACUAGGUUGGACGAAUGCAUGUAGUAAUUUGGUCUUGCAACAUUUUUAUGUAACUUUUAUCAAUUUUAUGUUUCGAAUAUCUACUACUAUCAGUUUUAAGAAUACGAGUGUGAUUGUUAAUAUUAAUAAUAGUUGAUUUAUUUUAAAAGCAUAUUGUAAUAUUUAGUUUGCCAUUGUUAAUUUGUUAUAUGUACUUAAUACAAUUUGUACACUUGUUUAAUAAUUGCACGUUAUACAUUUUCGAAAAAUUUAGACCAAUAUCGCCCAACCUCUUGUGUAUGUACAUACGAAAUCGAUGCAAAAGGAAUUUAAUUUUGAUAAAUGGAGCCGAUGGCUUUGAUUAAUUUAAUUGCGAUAUUAAUCGUUGUAGACAUAAUUAUUAGGAUAGAGUUCCUGAGGACAUAAAAGUCCGUCCAGGCACAAAAAGGAAACAACACCAAAGCAGUAGUUAGUCAUGAUAUAGUUGACGGAAUGGUUUCGAUGAAUCUAAAAUGUAAUGAAAAAUUGAAACGAAUUAAUUAGUAGCAUCGACAAAGCAAUAAUAAUAAGAUCUCAUAAUUGUUGUAGUAUCAGUACCCAUUGCUGCAAAGAUUCUUCAAAACCAUUGAUCGUGCAACUUUCAUGAUAAGAAGAUGUCUAUUAAACCACAAUUACUCAUAGAAAAUAUAUAAAUAAACUAUUCAAUAUACCUAACUAGUACUUAAAACGGAAACAUAACAAUAUUCAAAUAUACAAAUUGUGUAAAUAUAUGAAUUUAAAAAUCAAUGUCAGAUUUUUUCAACCCAUCAUCAUAGUAACAAGUACUUAAAUUGAGGUUAGAAUACAAAUCUAUUAACAAACUUCAAAUCGGUGUCGUCAUUUAAUGGUAAAAUAUACGUGUAUUAUAAAGUGAGAUUUAACUGUAGAUAGAAAAACCAAUUUAUUAAAUUAUUUUAAACUUUAUAACUUUUGCUAUUGUUUGUUGUUUGCACAUUUCAUUAUGUUUUCUUUAUUUAUUUUUUAUUCGACUCAUAAUUGCGUGCGUUAUCAGUAUUUAAGCUACCUCAACCAUAAUCUGCUUGCUGUUUAUUCUUAAGACCCUAAAUGCUAGUUAAAUUAUUAUUCCCGCUAGUUGGUAUAUUACAUGAACAAACAUCAUAUUUGUUUGUAAAGUCUUUAAAUCAUUAAACUGGCGCAAAGGCGUCAUUCAAAUUUCAAUCAAAAACCUAAUUUCGAUCAUCUUUUUCAUACUUCAGUUAUUUUACUUUGAGAAAUUAUUCAUCUACGUUAAUUCCAAUAUUUGUCAUUGUCAUAAUAUAUAUGUAUAUGCUAUUAAUACUUGUAUCUAAACAUGUUAUGGAUCAAACAGGGUCUUUAACUCUUAGGCAUUACCUAUACGUGUUUCUUAAUUUUAAUGUGUUGCGCUUUCUACUAAUACUUCGUAGCUUGAUGUUAACUUUUCUAUUGUAAAAUCGGUGUUCUUGUAAGAUUCUAGAAAUAAGCGCACCCUAAAUAAAAUAUUAGAAUAUAAUUAAAUCUUGUAAUUGCGCGAUCGGUAUUGAACAACAUGCAAAUAUGUAAGUUGGAAUACCUAAGUAUAUUAUAAUGAUUUGUACUAAAAGGCGGAGCCAGUAAAGGAUAAAUGUAAUUAAAAAAAUCUACUUUAAAUUCACCACUGAUUUUUCGAGUCACGGAUCUUUUAUAAACUAAAACCUUCAUGACUACUCUUAGAAUAUUUGAAAUAGCCUCAAUAGUUCGACAUCAGUACUUAUAAAUUGUAUAGAUAUAAAAACGCGUCAUUUUGUAUAUUUAAUGACUGAGUGCCAGAUGAAUGUGAUUGUAUGUUACAUGUUGAACUGUGUUUAAAUUAUAAUAUAAGUAACUGUUUCUAGUGGUAAAUGGAUGUAUUGUAAUCAAUAUGGCUUCAAUGGCGAAUGAAACGAAAUAAAGGUUAUUUUAUAUUAUA
Molecule: long non-coding RNA, 2466 nt
Organism: Cydia strobilella
Lineage: Eukaryota; Metazoa; Arthropoda; Insecta; Lepidoptera; Tortricidae
Exons: 2
Source: RefSeq, a predicted model, not a curated record